This 957-nucleotide ribosomal RNA is filed under the name uncultured bacterium. Its description in RNAcentral is "bacterial SSU rRNA". It matches the Rfam family "Bacterial small subunit ribosomal RNA", at positions 537 to 1500 of the family's 1533-position model. The record is from RNAcentral.
GGGAGGUUUCGGGAUUCCUGGGUUUAAGGGUGCGUAGGCGGGUUGGUAAGUCCGUGGUGAAAUCUCCAAGCUUAACUUGGAAACUGCCGUGGAUACUAUCAAUCUUGAAUAUAGUGGAGGUGAGCGGAAUAUGUCAUGUAGCGGUGAAAUGCUUAGAUAUGACAUAGAACACCCAUUGCGAAGGCAGCUCGCUACACUAUUAUUGACGCUGAGGCACGAAAGCGUGGGGAUCAAACAGGAUUAGAUACCCUGGUAGUCCACGCCCUAAACGAUGAUUACUCGACAUCAGCGAUACACUGUUGGUGUCUGAGCGAAAGCAUUAAGUAAUCCACCUGGGAAGUACGACCGCAAGGUUGAAACUCAAAGGAAUUGACGGGGGCCCGCACAAGCAGUGGAGUAUGUGGUUUAAUUCGAAGCAACGCGAAGAAUCUUACCAGGUCUUGACAUCCCUUGACGUUUGUAGAGAUACAAAUUUCCUUCGGGACAAGGAGACAGGUGGUGCAUGGUUGUCGUCAGCUCGUGUCGUGAGAUGUUGGGUUAAGUCCCGCAACGAGCGCAACCCCUAUUGUUAGUUGCCAGCACGUAAAGGUGGGAACUCUAGCAAGACUGCCGGCGACAAGUCGGAGGAAGGUGGGGACGACGUCAAAUCAUCAUGCCCCUUAUGACCUGGGCUACACACGUACUACAAUGGUCAUUACAGUGGGACGCGAAGCGGUAACGUGGAGCAAAUCCCCAAAGAUGACCCCAGUUCGGAUUGUGGGCUGAAACUCGCCCACAUGAAGUCGGAAUUGCUAGUAAUGGCAGGUCAGCAUACUGCCGUGAAUACGUUCCCGGGCCUUGUACACACCGCCCGUCACACCAUGAGAGUUGGUAACACCCGAAGUCAGUAGUCUAACCGCAAGGAGGGCGCUGCCGAAAGUGGGAUCGAUGAUUGGGGUGAAGUCGUAACAAGGUAAC